This 254-nucleotide ribosomal RNA is filed under the name uncultured bacterium. RNAcentral's name for it is "partial 16S ribosomal RNA". It matches the Rfam family "Bacterial small subunit ribosomal RNA", at positions 524 to 776 of the family's 1533-position model. The record is from RNAcentral.
UACGUAGGGUGCAAGCGUUGUCCGGAAUUAUUGGGCGUAAAGAGCUCGUAGGCGGUCUGUCGCGUCGGUCGUGAAAACUUGGGGCUUAACCCUGAGCUUGCGGUCGAUACGGGCAUGACUGGAGUUCGGCAGGGGAGACUGGAAUUCCUGGUGUAGCGGUGAAAUGCGCAGAUAUCAGGAGGAACACCGGUGGCGAAGGCGAGUCCCUGGACAUCUCCUGACACUGAGGCACGAAAGCUAGGGGAGCAAACAGG